RNAcentral lists this transfer RNA (71 nucleotides) under Loxodonta africana (African savanna elephant). It matches the Rfam family "tRNA". Rfam says of the family: Transfer RNA (tRNA) molecules are approximately 80 nucleotides in length. Their secondary structure includes four short double-helical elements and three loops (D, anti-codon, and T loops). Further hydrogen bonds mediate the characteristic L-shaped molecular structure. tRNAs have two regions of fundamental functional importance: the anti-codon, which is responsible for specific mRNA codon recognition, and the 3' end, to which the tRNAs corresponding amino acid is attached (by aminoacyl-tRNA synthetases). tRNAs cope with the degeneracy of the genetic code in two manners: having more than one tRNA (with a specific anti-codon) for a particular amino acid; and 'wobble' base-pairing, i.e. permitting non-standard base-pairing at the 3rd anti-codon position. The record is from Rfam by way of RNAcentral. Lineage: Eukaryota; Metazoa; Chordata; Mammalia; Proboscidea; Elephantidae.
GCCUUGGUGGUCCAGUGGUAGAAUUCUUGCCUACAAUGCAGGAGACCUGGGUUGGACUUCCGGCCAAUGCG